GACGGCCAACGUCUCUAGCCGGCGAAAAUCAAAGUGAAUCCGAUAUUUUGAUGCUCUAAUUCCUAAUUUAAGUGGUGUUAGGUUUAAUGGUGUUUGUGAGUUUAUAUUGGGAUGAGAAAAUUAUUCAACUCCCAGGUUUGGGUGUUGCUUAUGAUCCCCUCGUGCAAAAUCAUUUAUUAUAUUGCAUGAAAAGAUAUCUUAUUAUCA
Long non-coding RNA from Salvia splendens (bonfire salvia), 207 nucleotides. RefSeq lists it as uncharacterized. Lineage: Eukaryota; Viridiplantae; Streptophyta; Magnoliopsida; Lamiales; Lamiaceae. The record is from RefSeq and is a predicted model, not a curated record. The transcript is spliced from 2 exons.